GCUAGUAAUGGCAGGUCAGCAUACUGCCGUGAAUACGUUCCCGGGCCUUGUACACACCGCCCGUCACACCAUGAGAGUUGGGAAUACCCGAAGCCUGUGAGCUAACUUUAAGAGGCAGCAGUCGAAGGUAGAAUCAAUGAUUGGGGUGAAGUCGUAACAAGGUAUC
This 166-nucleotide ribosomal RNA is filed under the name uncultured bacterium. RNAcentral describes it as "partial 16S ribosomal RNA". It matches the Rfam family "Bacterial small subunit ribosomal RNA", at positions 1334 to 1500 of the family's 1533-position model. The record is from RNAcentral.